Molecule: long non-coding RNA, 473 nt
Organism: Triplophysa dalaica
Lineage: Eukaryota; Metazoa; Chordata; Actinopteri; Cypriniformes; Nemacheilidae
Exons: 3
Source: RefSeq, a predicted model, not a curated record
CACACACAGAGAUCACAGACAGCUCAUAUACAGUAUAUAUGGAUAUACAGUAUCAGAACCUCAUCCGUUGUCUUUUCACCGUUUUCACCAGGUGAAUGGAGGUUAAAUCAUGCCUCACAGAAAACAGCCGGAGCAUAAAACCUCACAGAACAUUAAACUUCAAAACGAAGACCCACAACAAGCCAAAAAAAAACGAGAGAAAAGAUGUUUUAAGCUUGUUCACAGGGAAAGCAUGGAGCACACGCCAAACAUUUCUCUUGAUGCAAAAGGAGCAGAAGAGAGUCACAGAUCAUAUGAGACAUUCACAUAUCACAUAAAGGGACUGAUGAAGAAAACAAACCAACGCUGGAGUAAAACGAGAUAAAGCAGAAUGAAAGCCAUAACAUCAAUAGUAUUGGAAAUGGCAGUAUGAUGAAUGACAUAAAAUGAAUGAAUGAAUAUAUGAUGACAGGAUUUAAAUGUUUGGAUGAACG